GACGAACGCUGGCGGCGUGCUUAACACAUGCAAGUCGAACGGAAAGGCCCUGCUUUUGUGGGGUGCUCGAGUGGCGAACGGGUGAGAAACACGUGAGUAACCUGCCCUUGACUUUGGGAUAACUUCAGGAAACUGGGGCUAAUACCGGAUAGGAGCUCCUGCUGCAUGGCGGGGGUUGGAAAGUUUCGGCGGUUGGGGAUGGACUCGCGGCUUAUCAGCUUGUUGGUGGGGUAGUGGCUUACCAAGGCUUUGACGGGUAGCCGGCCUGAGAGGGUGACCGGCCACAUUGGGACUGAGAUACGGCCCAGACUCCUACGGGAGGCAGCAGUGGGGAAUAUUGCACAAUGGGCGGAAGCCUGAUGCAGCAACGCCGCGUGCGGGAUGACGGCCUUCGGGUUGUAAACCGCUUUCGCCUGUGACGAAGCGUGAGUGACGGUAAUGGGUAAAGAAGCACCGGCUAACUACGUG
RNAcentral lists this ribosomal RNA (468 nucleotides) under uncultured bacterium. RNAcentral describes it as "partial 16S ribosomal RNA". It matches the Rfam family "Bacterial small subunit ribosomal RNA", at positions 28 to 507 of the family's 1533-position model. The record is from RNAcentral.